ACGACCGUCCUCACUCGUAGGCGCGCGGGGCCACGCUACCCAUAAUGCCCAAGGAACCCGUGGACUCCUCCUACCUUAGGGCCCCUCUACUUUCUUCCAGGGUCCCCCGAGCCUAAUGGAUGCCGAGACAGACGAGGGCAUGGACUACACGGGCUGCAGCCCCGGCGCGGCAUCCUCGGAGUCUUCCACCAUGGACCGCAGCUGCUCCAGCACCCCUGUGGGCAACGAAAGCACAGCCGCAGGUGAGCGCCCCAGGCCCGAGUCCCAGGCCCAGCUGAGUCGUUCUUGGGGACACAGGUUGAUAGUCAAGUGGCCCCCAAGGAGGCCAAGAUGGAUGCAGCAGACGAGCUCGUACACUGGGCACUGAGGCCUCUCUGGUCAUUCUGCCCACCUCCUUGAUGCCGUCCC
This 408-nucleotide long non-coding RNA is filed under the name Rattus norvegicus (Norway rat). Its description in RNAcentral is "long non-coding RNA NONRATT022856". The record is from RNAcentral. Lineage: Eukaryota; Metazoa; Chordata; Mammalia; Rodentia; Muridae.